GGAUCCGGUGCAUUAGUGCUGGU
This 23-nucleotide non-coding RNA is filed under the name Arabidopsis thaliana (thale cress). The record is from RNAcentral. Lineage: Eukaryota; Viridiplantae; Streptophyta; Magnoliopsida; Brassicales; Brassicaceae.